UUGGAUCGUCCGCCGCAGCCGGUUGAGGGUGCUCGUAGCAGUCCAAGUCGCGGUGUGAGAGACGGACAGUUCAGUGCCUUCCAGCUGGUGUGCCGUUACUCUGCAGCCUGCGCUCCCUUCGCCCAGCUGAGGGUGGAGCGCUCCGCGAGCACCAACUGUGCCCACCUCCAACAUCGGCCGCGCCGUCGCUUAGCACACACCUCGCACCAGUCACAAACGACUCAAGGACGGUGCCCGCACCUGAGGAUCUUUGCAAGUCGUCUGUUUUGGGAACGAAUUGCAGCUUGGGAUCUGCGCAUCUUUCGGCCAGCAACUGUGAGGUAUACUUCAACUGUCGCACUGCAGGCUUCUUCUGGGACUGAGAUGGAGUUAUGAGACUACCUUCGUCGCUGUAUGAGCAUUUCUGAAGUGUGGGCGUGGCGAUGGCGGCGCUGUGGUGACAUGUGGGAGGCGGCGGCGGUGC
Long non-coding RNA from Schistocerca nitens (vagrant locust), 463 nucleotides. RefSeq lists it as uncharacterized. The transcript is spliced from 6 exons. The record is from RefSeq and is a predicted model, not a curated record. NCBI's taxonomy places the organism in Eukaryota, Metazoa, Arthropoda, Insecta, Orthoptera, Acrididae.